This is a long non-coding RNA of Drosophila albomicans, 462 nucleotides long. RefSeq lists it as uncharacterized. The record is from RefSeq and is a predicted model, not a curated record. The transcript has 2 exons. Lineage: Eukaryota; Metazoa; Arthropoda; Insecta; Diptera; Drosophilidae.
UUGUCAUUUUGAUAAUCGAUAUUUGAUAUUUUAUUGUCAACACAAUUGGUGCAAAAUUUGGCCAUUUGUCAACCGUUUUUUCGGUAUAUAAACGUGCCUAAAGUCUGUAUAUGUUAUGAGUUCUUACUGGAGUUUGGUUGUUGCCAAUUCAAACUAAGACUAAAUCCAAUUCAAGCCAACCGAACAACAUGCCACGAGCUCUGCUGUAUUCUCUGGCUUUAAUCGCCUGUCUGCUGGCAAUUCUACCAAUCAGCGAGAGCUUAGUGCUUUCCAGUGCUAAUGCAGUUUUAGUGGCUUGUCCAGCGAAUCAGUUUGCAUAUGAGAGCAAUCAGAGGGCAACUGGGACUUUGUUGAUGUCUCGGUUAAGUCCCAGUUGCGGCACAUGUUGAAAGCAUUGUUAUCUAUGCAUUGUUGUUGGUUAUGUUUGUUAUUGUUUUAAUAAAAAAGAUUUGUUUUAAAUUA